Molecule: microRNA, 22 nt
Filed under: Columba livia (rock pigeon)
Lineage: Eukaryota; Metazoa; Chordata; Aves; Columbiformes; Columbidae
Also listed under: 2 other names
Description: Cli-Mir-451_5p (mature (guide))
Source: RNAcentral
AAACCGUUACCAUUACUGUGUU